This 459-nucleotide ribosomal RNA is filed under the name uncultured bacterium. RNAcentral's name for it is "partial 16S ribosomal RNA". It matches the Rfam family "Bacterial small subunit ribosomal RNA", at positions 338 to 795 of the family's 1533-position model. The record is from RNAcentral.
CCUACGGGAGGCAGCAGUGAGGAAUAUUGGUCAAUGGGCGCGAGCCUGAACCAGCCAAGUCGCGUGAGGGAAGACGGUUCUAUGGAUUGUAAACCCCUUUUGUCGGGGAGCAAAUGACGCUACGUGUCGCGUUCUGAGAGUACCCGAAGAAAAAGCAUCGGCUAACCCCGUGCCAGCAGCCGCGGUAAUACGGAGGAUGAGAGCGUUAUCCGGAUUUAGGGGGUUUAAAGGGUGCGCGGGCGGAUGAUCAAGUUGGCGGUAAAAGUUAGAGGCUCAACCUCUUAGAGCCGUUGAAACUGGUUUUCUUGAGUGGGCGAGAGGUAGGCGGAAUGCGUGGUGUAGCGGUGAAAUGCGUAGAGAUCACGCAGAACACCGAUUGCGAAGGCAGCAUACCAGCGCUCAACUGACGCGGAUGCACGAAAGUGUGGGUAGCAAACAGGAUUAGAUACCCUAGUAGUC